CCUANGGGGGGCUGCAGGCGCGGAAUCUUUACAAUGCACGCAAGUGUGAUAAGGGAACCCCAAGUGCUAAUGUUUCACAUUGGCUUUUGCCAAGAGCAAAUAUCUUGGCGAAUAAGGAGUGGGCAAGACUGGUGCCAGCCGCCGCGGUAACACCAGCGCUUCAAGUUGCAAUCGCGUAUUUGGUCUAAAGCGUCCGUAGCUGGUCGUGUAAAUCUUUUGUGAAAUUGUUGGGCUUAACCUAACGAAUUGCAGGAGAGACUGCACAACUUGGGACCAGGAGGGGUUUGGAGUAUUCUUGGGGGAGCGGUAAAAUGCUAUAAUCCCAAGAGGACUACCUGUGGCGAAGGCGCCAAACCAGAAUGGAUCCGACGGUGAGGGACGAAAGCGAGGGGAGCAAACCGGAUUAGAUACCCGANUANUC
Molecule: ribosomal RNA, 421 nt
Filed under: uncultured bacterium
Lineage: Bacteria
Description: bacterial SSU rRNA
Rfam family: Archaeal small subunit ribosomal RNA
Source: RNAcentral